Oncorhynchus tshawytscha (Chinook salmon) is the source of this 1100-nucleotide long non-coding RNA. NCBI's taxonomy places the organism in Eukaryota, Metazoa, Chordata, Actinopteri, Salmoniformes, Salmonidae. The record is from Ensembl.
UCCGUCAUUUCCGUCACCUCCGUCAGUUCCGUCAGUUCCGUCAGUUCCGUCACCUCCGUCAGUUCCGUCAGUUCCGUCAUCGCCGUCAGUUCCGUCAGUUCUGUCACUUCCGUCACCUCCGUCAGUUCCGUCACCUCCGUCAGUUCCGUCACCUCCGUCAGUUCCGUCACCUCCGUCAGUUCCGUCACCUCCGUCACCUCCGUCAGUUCCUUGUCAACUCUGUCACUUAUUGCUAUCCCACUUAAGACAUAUACAGUAUAUAUACAGUAUAUGUAUAUGCAUAUAUAUAUAUUAUAUUUUAUAUUCUGAAACAAUAUGUUAAUAAUAGUCCUGCAAAAUAUGCUUAAACUAUUGAACUGUUUGCUGUGCUGUGAAAAUCAGGAUAAACCUAACUUUACAAAUCUUGUUUAAUUUUCUUAAUCUAGAAAAACAUUCCAAAAAAUGCUAAUGAAAUGAACCCUGGAGAAUUAUACAAUGGUAUAAAACCAAACACAAAAAAAGACAUUGAGAUCUGUAUUAAACAAGCUACAAUGUUAAACAAGCUACAAUGUUAGAAGGAAACAAAGCCAUUAAACAAGCUACAAUGUUAGAAGGAAACAAGGCCAUUAAACACUCGUCGGACAGUAAAAACAUAAGGCCUUUCAUGUCUGAAGGAGUUUUACUAUGAAAAAAAGGUCAUCAUUAGGAGGUUGUUCCUUUACAAAGGUGUGAUAGCUAAUACUUUGGUUUAUUAUUAAAAUAUAUAUUUAAAAUGUUGUUAUUAUGAAGAAAAAAAAUAUUUGGGCUAAAAGGUUUUUUGAUUGUUCCGUCUUUCGAGAAACCCUGAUUUACAUGUAUGAGGAAUUUGACCUGGGUGCAGGGGCUAGGGUGCAGGGGCGAGGGUGUAGGGGCGAGGGUGUAGGGGCGAGGGUGUAGGGGAGAGGGUGUAGGGGCGAGGGUGUAGGGGCGAGGGUGCAGGGGCUAGGGUGCAGGGGCGAGGGUGCAGGGGCGAGGGUGUAGGGGAGAGGGUGUAGGGGAGAGGGUGUAGGGGCUAGGGUGUAGGGGCGAGGGUGUAGGGGCUAGGGUGUAGGGCUAGGGUGUAGGCGCUAGGGUGUAGGGGC